UGGAAUGUAAUUCAGUGGUAGAGGGCUUGCCUACUAUGUACAGACCCUGGGUUCAAUCCCAAGUAUACCAA
RNAcentral lists this transfer RNA (71 nucleotides) under Marmota monax (woodchuck). RNAcentral's name for it is "tRNA.Ser". Lineage: Eukaryota; Metazoa; Chordata; Mammalia; Rodentia; Sciuridae. The record is from RNAcentral.